This 446-nucleotide ribosomal RNA is filed under the name uncultured bacterium. RNAcentral's name for it is "bacterial SSU rRNA". It matches the Rfam family "Bacterial small subunit ribosomal RNA", at positions 330 to 792 of the family's 1533-position model. The record is from RNAcentral.
GCCAGACUCCUACGGGAGGCAGCAGUGGGGAAUAUUGCACAAUGGGGGAAACCCUGAUGCAGCGACGCCGCGUGAGUGAAGAAGUAUUUCGGUAUGUAAAGCUCUAUCAGCAGGAACGAGACAAGACGGUACCUGACUAAGAAGCCCCGGCUAACUACGUGCCAGCAGCCGCGGUAAUACGUAGGGGGCAAGCGUUAUCCGGAAUCACUGGGUGUAAAGGGAGCGUAGACGGCUGAGCAAGCCUGAAGUGAAAGGCGGGGGCCCAACCCCCGGACUGCUUUGGGAACUGUACGGCUGGAGUGCAGGAGAGGUAAGUGGAAUUCCUAGUGUAGCGGUGAAAUGCGUAGAUAUUAGGAGGAACACCAGUGGCGAAGGCGGCUUACUGGACUGUAACUGACGUUGAGGCUCGAAAGCGUGGGGAGCAAACAGGAUUAGAUACCCUCGUA